Coffea arabica (coffee) is the source of this 1458-nucleotide long non-coding RNA. RefSeq lists it as uncharacterized. The record is from RefSeq and is a predicted model, not a curated record. NCBI's taxonomy places the organism in Eukaryota, Viridiplantae, Streptophyta, Magnoliopsida, Gentianales, Rubiaceae.
ACAAAUUAUUAGCCGCCAGAUCCGACCGACAAACUGGAAACCGCCUCAAUGUGUCGGUACGACUGCCUGGGGAUGUCGUACCCCUGCCCUGUUCAAAACGCUGGCGGAAUAGGCUUUUGUGGCUUAUCCUUCAGCGAUUUUUGUCAUCAAGCCGCAGACAUGGCAUCCACCUGUAUUUUUGAGGUUACAGACUUCCAGCUGUCAUCAUGCUCACAGGAUAGGAGAAGAAUGCCUAAAAUAUGCUCAUACUUGAGUUGAAAACAAAGAAUCACCCUCUAUGCCAAACCAAAUUGUUUGUGAGAUUAAAGCCAGGAUGACCACACCGGAAUAUGUAUACAUACAUGCAUAUUCAGGAGGUAAAAGCUUUCGUAGUUUGAAAAGAAAAACUUGUCUUAAUUGCAUCUUUGCCAUCGAAGUAGGACUGAGUUUCUGAACAAUGCUCAGUAAGGUUGGUUUGUAGGAGCCAACCAUGAUUAAUUUUGCUUGAUCAUAAUCAACUCUCUUGGCACCUGUUGAGAGGAUGAGGUCGCAGCUAGUUCAUCGGUUAUCUUCAGAGUCAGGUUUGAAAUAAUAGGCUUGAAGUUAAUUUAUUACAGGCUUAUUUACCUGCUUUCUUGUUUUUGAUUGCUUACAUGAAUGAAAUCCCUGGAUUUGUCAUUCAUGGAACUCUGUUUGAGCAAGGAAGGAAGCUUUCGUGUUUAUCGUGGUCAGUGUUGCAAAUACACAGCUGCACACCUGCAGUCAUGCAUUUCCUCGAUGAUAUGCAAUCAUAGUUUAAAAUCAAACUAUUAUUCAGGUUCUUCUCAUUCCUCCUCCGUUGGUUUCACUAUCCAUUUGGCAAAGGUUCAAAACUGCACGGUGAACGAUGAUGGCAAAGAUGGUUCUUCUGCUGAAUUUUGAGGAGACGAAGAAGCGUACUCUACUAGUAGUUGUUUUGGUUACCAGUCUGCAAAAGGCCCGGGUGGAAGUGUGCCGUAGCUUUAUGAUUGUGGGUUUGCUACUUGCUCGAGUCUCCCGACUGAUCUAUUUCAGCAGCGCGUGGAAGGAGGUAGUUGAAGGUGAUUUCUUCCCAAGCUGUCUGACCUUUGAAAACAAUUCCUCAGCAGUUGUUCUCCAUUUCAGAAUAUAAUUAGCAGCCUGAUAUCAUUCUUUUCUGAAGUUGGAAACAAAUGGGCUAUCUUUUUAGUUACUGGCAAAAUGUUUUUAGCCUCGCUGUAUCUCUGCUAUUCUGGAAGAUGGAGAAAUUUUUUGUGUUUUGCGGUAUCCAAAAUUGGAUGAAGACCUGAAAUGUCCAUUCUCUUGGAGGGGCUGAUACAGCAAUUACAUGAGAUUGAAUUUAUUUGGAAUCCAUAAUCCACACGUUAAGUAGUGUGACGUCGAGAACUUCAGUGGUGGUUUUAUUCUGUAAUCGAAUUAUGGAAUGUUUUGACGGGCAAAGUAUGAUCAAUAUGACUAUUA